RNAcentral lists this transfer RNA (72 nucleotides) under Brachypodium distachyon (stiff brome). It matches the Rfam family "tRNA". From Rfam's summary of the family: Transfer RNA (tRNA) molecules are approximately 80 nucleotides in length. Their secondary structure includes four short double-helical elements and three loops (D, anti-codon, and T loops). Further hydrogen bonds mediate the characteristic L-shaped molecular structure. tRNAs have two regions of fundamental functional importance: the anti-codon, which is responsible for specific mRNA codon recognition, and the 3' end, to which the tRNAs corresponding amino acid is attached (by aminoacyl-tRNA synthetases). tRNAs cope with the degeneracy of the genetic code in two manners: having more than one tRNA (with a specific anti-codon) for a particular amino acid; and 'wobble' base-pairing, i.e. permitting non-standard base-pairing at the 3rd anti-codon position. Lineage: Eukaryota; Viridiplantae; Streptophyta; Magnoliopsida; Poales; Poaceae. The record is from Rfam by way of RNAcentral.
GGGGAUGUAGCUAAUUGGUAGAGCAAACGCAGCGCUUGUGUCAGGUACGGGGUUCAAUUCCUCGCAUCUCCA